UGCCGUCGGAUGCAGAUGGAGUUCGUAGU
This 29-nucleotide non-coding RNA is filed under the name Rattus norvegicus (Norway rat). The record is from RNAcentral. Lineage: Eukaryota; Metazoa; Chordata; Mammalia; Rodentia; Muridae.